RNAcentral lists this ribosomal RNA (484 nucleotides) under uncultured bacterium. RNAcentral describes it as "partial 16S ribosomal RNA". It matches the Rfam family "Bacterial small subunit ribosomal RNA", at positions 30 to 507 of the family's 1533-position model. The record is from RNAcentral.
AUUGAACGCUGGCGGCAGGCCUAACACAUGCAAGUCGAGCGGAUGAAGGGAGCUUGCUCCUGGAUUCAGCGGCGGACGGGUGAGUAAUGCCUAGGAAACUGCCUGGUAGUGGGGGAUAACGUCCGGAAACGGGCGCUAAUACCGCAUACGUCCUGAGGGAGAAAGUGGGGGAUCUUCGGACCUCACGCUCUCAGAUGAGCCUAGGUCGGAUUAGCUAGUUGGUGGGGUAAAGGCCUACCAAGGCGACGAUCCGUAACUGGUCUGAGAGGAUGAUCAGUCACACUGGAACUGAGACACGGUCCAGACUCCUACGGGAGGCAGCAGUGGGGAAUAUUGGACAAUGGGCGAAAGCCUGAUCCAGCCAUGCCGCGUGUGUGAAGAAGGUCUUCGGAUUGUAAAGCACUUUAAGUUGGGAGGAAGGGCAGUAAGUUAAUACCUUGCUGUUUUGACGUUACCAACAGAAUAAGCACCGGCUAACUUCGUG